Molecule: ribosomal RNA, 116 nt
Filed under: Pallidibacillus pasinlerensis
Lineage: Bacteria; Bacillati; Bacillota; Bacilli; Caryophanales; Bacillaceae
Source: RNAcentral
UCUGGUGACGAUGGUGAGAAGGUCACACCCGUUCCCAUCCCGAACACGGAAGUUAAGCUUCUCAGCGCCGAUGGUAGUGAAGGAUUUCCCUUUGCGAAAGUAGGACGUUGCCAGGU